GGUGCGGUAUCCAAGUGGUAAGGAGACGGUCUGCAAAACCGUUAUACGCGGGUUCGAUCCCCGCCCGCACCUCCA
RNAcentral lists this transfer RNA (75 nucleotides) under candidate division WWE3 bacterium CG08_land_8_20_14_0_20_41_15. RNAcentral's name for it is "tRNA-Cys". It matches the Rfam family "tRNA". From Rfam's summary of the family: Transfer RNA (tRNA) molecules are approximately 80 nucleotides in length. The record is from RNAcentral. Lineage: Bacteria; candidate division WWE3.